RNAcentral lists this unclassified non-coding RNA (298 nucleotides) under Hevea brasiliensis (rubber tree). Lineage: Eukaryota; Viridiplantae; Streptophyta; Magnoliopsida; Malpighiales; Euphorbiaceae. The record is from RNAcentral.
UCUUCCUUGUAUCUAUGGUAUGAGUCAACAGCGAUGUUUCCAUUACUGUGGUCCCUUAUCUUUUCAGGGUAUUUUUGAGUGAAAAUGUCCCAAAUGCUUUGUCCUCUACCAUCUUCAUGUGCUGCACCUUCAUACUGGUAUGCAGAUGAUGCAGUCCCAAAAAUAAAACCUGCCGGAAAACUGCUCCGGCUAUGAGUAGCCAAAUGCUCUAUAGAAUCGUCNNNNNNNNNCCGAGACCAGAAGAAAAAUGAGAAAUAAGGAAAGAAAGACUUCAACUUUCAUGGUUAGUUUAUUUUCU